AGGCCCGGUAUAUGUAGUAUUUCCUUGAGCUUGCACAUCAAAGCUUGUGGAAAAAGUUUUAAAAGGAGAACAUACACCAUCUACAGAAGGAAGAUAAAUUAUGGUGUUUAAAAACUUUCGUUUGCAUGCAGGGAGUUUCACUCAUGACUUCUUAUUUUUGCAUAAAUAUUGAUUGAUUAUUUGAGAUCAAUAUACAACUUGUGUUGUCUUCUAGAAGCUUAUUUGCUUGGAAACAGUAAAACUUGUGUUCUUUGUACCAGCUUCCUUUCUGCAACAUGCCACCAAGGGUUGAAAGCGCUUGGAGCAGAGGGGAUGAUAAGAGAGCUGAUCCAGUAUUUGGACGUUGCAGAGAAUAUAUUUUGUCGUAAUAACAUUUAUCUGGGAACACCUAUUUAUAAUACGGUGCUGCAUUCACUUGUUGAGGCUCAGGAAGUAGGUGUUUUCAUCACCAUUGGUUUUCACAGCACGGAUCCAGCGACCUGCCAUUUUUUUUUCUCUGCAUAUGCCAACAGUGGUUUUCACAGCACGGCCAUGGAAGCACUGCAGGUUUUGAAUAUGCGCAUGAUAUGUGAAGAAGAUGGCAGCUUUCCAGAAAAGGCAGAAUUUGAGGAUGACUUCAUCUUUGCUGAAGACUUGGAAGCUGAAUCACGAAUAGUACAGCUUUUUAAAGAUUCUGAAGAGAAGCUUGCUGUUGCCCUUUUGAAUCUAAGAUGGUGCGCCAAUUUCAUGGUCACCUAAUCAAAGCCCAUGGGCCAGAAGACUGUCAUCUAACUACACUGCCAGGAAAGGAGCCACCUAAUCAUGAUAUAUGUAGGUGGCAUUAUGACUCCAGUGAGUUUCCCUUUAUUAUUAUUUUUGGUUGUGGUCGAACAAAGCGUAAGGCCUCCUCAGGAAGAAGGGGAGAGGGUGAGAGGCACAGAUGAGGUCUUGAUCUUUUACCGCUGAUUUUUUAGAUUUGUAUUAGGCUAGGAUAUUUGAGAAAAUUAGGGGAUGCCCUUUUAUCUUUUUUGGUUCAUUACGUUAUUUUGUAAGCUACUGCUUUGUAUAUUUAAAAGGUGAAAUCGUGCUGCAGUUCUCUAAACAAGAUCAACUGUGCCUAGGAGGAGGCGGCAGCAUGUUUUGUUGUUAAUUUAACAAAAAAAGCACAAAAAAGCAUUGAUAUUUUCUUUAUGCUUUUAUUCUUUAGCAAGUAUGCUUUGACCGCUA
Long non-coding RNA from Prunus dulcis (almond), 1206 nucleotides. RefSeq lists it as uncharacterized. NCBI's taxonomy places the organism in Eukaryota, Viridiplantae, Streptophyta, Magnoliopsida, Rosales, Rosaceae. The transcript is spliced from 2 exons. The record is from RefSeq and is a predicted model, not a curated record.